UACGUAGGGUGCGAGCGUUAAUCGGAAUUACUGGGCGUAAAGCGUGCGCAGGCGGUUCGUCGUGUCCGAUGUGAAAUCCCCGGGCUUAACUCGGGAACUGCGUCUGAUACUGGAAGGCUCGAGUUCGGGAGAGGAAUGUGGAAUUCCAGGUGUAGCGGUGAAAUGCGUAGAUAUCUGGAGGAACACCGGUGGCGAAGGCGGCAUUCUGGACCGAAACUGACGCUGAGGCGCGAAAGCCAGGGGAGCAAACGGG
Molecule: ribosomal RNA, 253 nt
Filed under: uncultured bacterium
Lineage: Bacteria
Description: partial 16S ribosomal RNA
Rfam family: Bacterial small subunit ribosomal RNA
Source: RNAcentral